GGUCCGAUAGCUCAACUGGAUAGAGCAUCACCCUUCUAAGGUGGCGGUUCGGGGUUCGACUCCCUGUCGGAUCAC
RNAcentral lists this transfer RNA (75 nucleotides) under Chryseotalea sanaruensis. RNAcentral describes it as "tRNA-Arg". It matches the Rfam family "tRNA". Rfam says of the family: Transfer RNA (tRNA) molecules are approximately 80 nucleotides in length. Lineage: Bacteria; Pseudomonadati; Bacteroidota; Cytophagia; Cytophagales; Chryseotaleaceae. The record is from RNAcentral.